AAAUGUGAGGACGGUCUGACUUCGGUAUCUGUCUGAUGAUUGUCUAGCUUAGGUGGGUGUCCCUUUCCUCCCUCAUUGCUCCUUGCAUGUUCCUGGCCAAAGCUGCACACUCAAAGAAAACCUUACCUGAGAGAGGAGGACAGGCCUUUGGUCAAGGCUACAAAGUAGCUGUCCUUUCCUGCUAAAAUCUCCAAACAAGCUCUCAAAAGUAGAUGCAGACGCUAUAUCCUAUUAAGAGUUCAGUUUCUGAAAAGCAUUCAUCA
RNAcentral lists this small nuclear RNA (263 nucleotides) under Nannospalax galili (Upper Galilee mountains blind mole rat). RNAcentral describes it as "7SK RNA (ENSNGAG00000001822.1)". It matches the Rfam family "7SK RNA". From Rfam's summary of the family: 7SK was discovered as an abundant small nuclear RNA in the mid-70s but a possible function has only recently been suggested. Lineage: Eukaryota; Metazoa; Chordata; Mammalia; Rodentia; Spalacidae. The record is from RNAcentral.